This 496-nucleotide ribosomal RNA is filed under the name uncultured bacterium. RNAcentral describes it as "partial 16S ribosomal RNA". It matches the Rfam family "Bacterial small subunit ribosomal RNA", at positions 29 to 507 of the family's 1533-position model. The record is from RNAcentral.
AUGCACGCUGGCGGCGUGCCUAAUACAUGCAAGUCGAGCGAACAGACGAGGAGCUUGCUCCUCUGACGUUAGCGGCGGACGGGUGAGUAACACGUGGAUAACCUACCUAUAAGACUGGGAUAACUUCGGGAAACCGGAGCUAAUACCGGAUAAUAUAUUGAACCGCAUGGUUCAAUAGUGAAAGACGGUUUUGCUGUCACUUAUAGAUGGAUCCGCGCCGCAUUAGCUAGUUGGUAAGGUAACGGCUUACCAAGGCAACGAUGCGUAGCCGACCUGAGAGGGUGAUCGGCCACACUGGAACUGAGACGCGGUCCAGACUCCUACGGGAGGCAGCAGUAGGGAAUCUUCCGCAAUGGGCGAAAGCCUGACGGAGCAACGCCGCGUGAGUGAUGAAGGUCUUCGGAUCGUAAAACUCUGUUAUUAGGGAAGAACAAAUGUGUAAGUAACUAUGCACGUCUUGACGGUACCUAAUCAGAAAGCCACGGCUAACUACGUG